Molecule: ribosomal RNA, 916 nt
Filed under: uncultured bacterium
Lineage: Bacteria
Description: bacterial SSU rRNA
Rfam family: Bacterial small subunit ribosomal RNA
Source: RNAcentral
AGAGUUUGAUUAUGGCUCAGAUUGAACGCUGGCGGCAUGCCUAACACAUGCAAGUCGAACGGAAACGAUGGAAGCUUGCUUCUAGGCGUCGAGUGGCGGACGGGUGAGUAAUACUUAGGAAUCUGCCCAGUAGUGGGGGACAACUCGGGGAAACUCGAGCUAAUACCGCAUAUGCACUACGGUGGAAAGUGGGGGAUCUUCGGACCUCACGCUAUUGGAUGAGCCUAAGUCGGAUUAGCUAGUUGGUGGGGUAAAAGCCUACCAAGGCGACGAUCCGUAGCUGGUCUGAGAGGACGAUCAGCCACACUGGGACUGAGACACGGCCCAGACUCCUACGGGAGGCAGCAGUGGGGAAUAUUGGACAAUGGGCGAAAGCCUGAUCCAGCAAUGCCGCGUGUGUGAAGAAGGCCUGCGGGUUGUAAAGCACUUUCAGUAGAGAAGAAAAGCUUAGGGUUAAUAACCCUGGGUCUUGACGUAACCUACAGAAGAAGCACCGGCUAACUCCGUGCCAGCAGCCGCGGUAAUACGGAGGGUGCGAGCGUUAAUCGGAAUUACUGGGCGUAAAGCGCGCGUAGGUGGUUCUGUAAGUCGGAUGUGAAAGCCCAGGGCUCAACCUUGGAAUUGCAUCCGAUACUGCAUAACUAGAGUAUGGUAGAGGGAAGUGGAAUUUCCGGUGUAGCGGUGAAAUGCGUAGAUAUCGGAAGGAACACCAGUGGCGAAGGCGACUUCCUGGGCCAAUACUGACACUGAGGUGCGAAAGCGUGGGGAACAAACAGGAUUAGAUACCCUGGUAGUCCACGCUGUAAACGAUGAGAACUAGAUGUCGGGAGGGUUGCCUUUCGGUGUCGCAGCUAACGCGUUAAGUUCUCCGCCUGGGGAGUACGCCGGCAACGGUAAAACUCAAAUGAAUUGACGG